RNA transcript from Exaiptasia diaphana, 805 nucleotides. RefSeq lists it as uncharacterized. The record is from RefSeq and is a predicted model, not a curated record. The transcript has 5 exons. Lineage: Eukaryota; Metazoa; Cnidaria; Anthozoa; Actiniaria; Aiptasiidae.
CGCAUAGRAAGAUCCAAAAGCAUCAUAAUCGCAAGAGCACAAGAUCAGUUCUGUUCAUUUUGAUCUUCACUCAUAAGUGUUGCCGAAAGUGAGUGAGUUUAUCAUUACAUAACAGACUUCACUAGAAGCGUUUCCUCCCGCUCUCAAUAAAUACAACGCGGCUUCAUCGAGCUUGGCACUUUGCUAGUUUAAAGGAGAGAAAAGUACACGCUUAAGAGGUGAAGUUAUAGCAUCAGCCAUGAAUACAAAAACGAUUCUUGUUCUUGUUGUUAUUGCCUCUGUGUUGGUGCUUGAAUCAAUAGCCGUUCCUGUCCAAAGAAGCAAAGCAAUUGACUUGUUGCUCAAACGCUUCCAAGACAUAAAAAGACUUUCAAAGAAAUGUAAUCGAAUCGACAAAUCGUGCUAUGAUUCAAGGGAAUGCUUCUGUGACGGGGUACGACGCGUAGAAUGCUCUUCGAUUCGAAAGGAUGGAAGAGGAACUUGCACUGCAGCCCUCGGUCCAAAUGAUUUUCUUCAAUAACUAGAGAAUAAUUCUAAUCAUCUUAAUUUAAAAAAGUGCAUAUAAAGGAUUUUUCAUGCCUUCUAAGAAAAGUUUAACGAUUUUAAAUUGGAAUCUAAAAACGGUGUUAGAUUCGAAAACCUCUCAAGAAAAGCGUGCCAUGAUUUGCGACAACUCUUGUCUGGACCACAGGGAGCCCAGGCUCAACACAGUUUUGUUGCUUUCACGGUGUUGUCAAUGUUUGCGUGGUUCGCGGUUCGAAGCGUGGUUCCCUUAUGAAGCCGUAAAUUUUUUCUACUUCAUUUC